CCGCCCUCUAUUCCACCUUCGUUGUUGUCCUCUGCUCUGGUGCCGUCACCGCCAAACUGCCCUCCUAGUUGCAGCUAGAGGUGUUUGCCUGUGUGGCCCUGCUCUUUCCCUGCCAUGGAUACGUUUCUUUGAAUGAGGUAGCUCCUUGCCAUAUGAUUUAUAAUGGGUGAGGUUAGUUCUUUUAUAUAUAUAUAUAUAUAUAUAUAUAUAUAUAUAUAUAUAUAAUUUAGAUGAUAUUGUUGGCUUGGGUGAGUUAAUUAAGUUGGUCAGUGUUUAAGUAGCCAAAUGGUUCAUGCCUCUGUCUAAAUAAACUUAUAAAUUCUAUGGUUCUUUUUGUCCUUGCCAAGCAAUGCAAAUCAACAAGGACUUCGGUGCCUUAUCUAUUUAUGAUUAUGAUGAUCAUUUUCUACUUAUCUGAUGCCCCUCUUAUAUUUUGAUUAUGCUGCUGAUUUCUAGCAAACAAGCUUCAUGCUCUAUCACUAACUGCGAGGACAGACAAUUGCCCCAUAAUGCUUGAGGUAAUCAUAACAUAUCAUUGUGCUAUUCUUUUAACUGUCAUUCUGAGGUACUCAACGUGUGUGGGUGCAGAUUUAUCUUCAAAUCUUCUUUGUACUGUAAAGUUCAGAUGUCAUACCUGACUACUUGCAUGUUGCAGUCUUUUGUCCAAGACGAUUCCAACAUCAGGAUUGCCAUCUAUUCAAGUAAUACACGGUACUAUUCCUCUCAUUGCGAUUAACUGCUACUUUCUAUGACAUAAAUUAUGCAUUGGAUCCCAAUCAGUGGCACUAAGUUUUAGGUUGACUGCAAUGCCUUUUCUCUGCAGUUGCUCACUGCAAUUGCUUUUUGUCAAGCCUCAUUGAUGUAUUCAACAAGUAUCAGUCGCUGAAGCAAGUUCUGCUGCAGCACAAAUCUAACAGUGUUAGGUUCUUAUGUUCUUCUGGUUAUACCUAGCAUUCUUCAAUGCCAAUUUAUCACAUUUCUAGGUGCCUUUUCUGGUUAUAGUUUCUUACUCUAUUUUUAUAGCAUCUAUAUGAAGCAGCAAUAGUCAUUUCAGGAUUCUUUCCUGCUGGUAGGACAGAUGUGGAAUCAUAACAAAUGUCCAAAUUUGGCGUGUUUCAUAUGACCUAAGUAGCAAAAAGAUAGGCAUUAGUACAAUUAGACAUGGCUUGUGGGUAAUAAGGCUUAGCUAUAUGGUCAUUAACUUAGCUAUAAAGUUGUUACUUGACCAGAUCAGCUAUCUGGCAGAACUAAGACUUACAACUGGCACAUCACUUCAGAGAACAUACUUGCUUAGACCUGCAACUUGCAUGUACCAUAUUCUUCAGAUACGUUGGUUGCCCAUAUAAAAUGGGGUCUUAAUUCCUUUACGUGCAAUAAUUCAUAAAGUCUGAAUUCAUCUUCAACAGUGCUUUGGUCACAACCAAUUGAAAGCUGUAGAUAUUUCUUACCACACACAUUCCUUAUGGUAGUGUUCAAAUAAAAUAAAUUUACUCUAAAUAUUUGCUUGACUGAAAGACAAUUUACCUUUAUUGCAUUUCAGGAUUCAGUUAUACCCUAAAACAGAUUUAUUUGACCCUUUAUAAAGUUACAUGUCCAUAUUAUAUAUUCAUAUUAAUAUUAGUUUAUUCCAAGCUACAGUCCAAAUAAAUAAUUGAACCAUUUGGUAGUAAUCAGUUGUUGAGCAAAGCUCCCAAAUAGCACGUGUAAUCAAGUUCUAUUGUGUUGUAUUCAUACUCUCAGAUGGUGGUUAGAUCUUUAUGCCACAUUAUGACUUAAUGAAUGUAUCCUCUUAUGUGAAUUAGCUAAGCAUUGACAAGUGAAGUCCUUGCAUGAUUACAUCUUAUUUAAUCUUUGUAAGAUAAGUUAAUUAGCAUAUCCAUAUGUUUUUAGUUUUGACUUACACAAAGAAACUGCUAUAUUUAGUCACUGGCUAAUUCAUUACUUCGUUGAGUUAUUUCUCUCUUCUGUUGACUGCAGUAAUAACUGGUGCUUUCUUCACUAGGUCAACAUCUCCUUUGUUUAUAUAUACCUUACCCAUCUUUACGGAAUCACAUUCACUGCACUUGCAUCUUUUUCCCUUUUCUCCAUUGAUACUAUCCUCAAUCUAUUAGUGUGGUAACACCGGUAUAUAUUCUGUUGAAUUGUAUGAUAGGUGAUGCCUUUCUGAAUGAUAUUGGUACAAUUGGAAGGAUAAUAGAGCAAAGAUUUACCUUUUGUUUUUAUGGUGUCCUGGCCAUAGUCAAACACGGGAGAUCACCAUACAUUAGUUGAUUCUGCCUAAUUCUAAUACCAAUGUAAUUGCAAGUUGACAUUGAUUUCAGACACCGCUUUGUGUAAAGAUAUUUUGUAGAAGUUCUUUUAUCCUACUUCAACCAUUGCAUGCCGAAGCAAAACAUGUCUACGUUCUUAUGUGAUGUGAUUCGGGUGAAUGAAAUUCAGACAUUUGUCAGACCCAUUACUUAUAAUGGGUGUUCCUUCAAAA
RNAcentral lists this long non-coding RNA (2482 nucleotides) under Oryza sativa (Asian cultivated rice). Its description in RNAcentral is "long non-coding RNA (OSAT_LNC000639)". Lineage: Eukaryota; Viridiplantae; Streptophyta; Magnoliopsida; Poales; Poaceae. The record is from RNAcentral.